RNAcentral lists this ribosomal RNA (265 nucleotides) under uncultured bacterium. RNAcentral describes it as "partial 16S ribosomal RNA". It matches the Rfam family "Bacterial small subunit ribosomal RNA", at positions 793 to 1055 of the family's 1533-position model. The record is from RNAcentral.
GUCCACGCCCUAAACGAUGUCGACUGGUUGUUGGGGGUUUGACACUCUCAGUAACGAAGCUAACGCGUGAAGUCGACCGCCUGGGGAGUACGGCCGCAAGGUUAAACUCAAAGGAAUUGACGGGGACCCGCACAAGCGGUGGAUUAUGUGGAUUAAUUCGAUGCAACGCGAAAAACCUUACCUACCCUUGACAUGUCCGAGAGCCCCGCCGAGAGGCGGGUGUGCCCGAAAGGGAAUCGGAACACAGGUGCUGCAUGGCUGUCGU